AUUCUCCAUAACCAUCGGAAAGGAAGAGGCCCAGGCAGCGCUCCACAUCCUGACCCUAGCUUUUAACACCAUCGUUUUGGGGAGAGGAGAGGAGGAACGCACCCACAGUGAGGUCUCCACCCAACACUUCUCCGACCCCAGCUUCAGCCUGGCGCACCUUCCUUCCCAAACCCGCCUCUCCCGCCUCGGAGACCCCCUCCUCCUCCCUGCCACCAAAGGCCACGCAGCCCCCAUCUAGCCAGUCCUCACGGACCCUGGACCAAGACGCGCCUCCUGGAGGCCGAGACUGCCCGAAACCCGGCCCCUGCGUCCACCGGGAGCGCCACACUCUGGCAGCUGACCGGCGGCUGUCGCCGGGGGUAAGGUUACCGCUCCGCUUCCGCGGCUGGCCUGCGACCCGGCCACCUGCAGGGCCUGGCAGGCGCCCGAACUCAUCCCCUUCCCGCGGCCCGCCCCGG
This 458-nucleotide long non-coding RNA is filed under the name Homo sapiens (human). RNAcentral describes it as "non-protein coding lnc-GRHL2-12:5". The record is from RNAcentral. Lineage: Eukaryota; Metazoa; Chordata; Mammalia; Primates; Hominidae.